Molecule: ribosomal RNA, 407 nt
Filed under: uncultured bacterium
Lineage: Bacteria
Description: bacterial SSU rRNA
Rfam family: Bacterial small subunit ribosomal RNA
Source: RNAcentral
UGGGGAAUAUUGGGCAAUGGGCGAAAGCCUGACCCAGCAACGCCGCGUGAGGGAAGAAGGUCUUCGGAUUGUAAACCUUUGUCCUAUGGGACGAAACAAAUGACGGUACCAUAGGAGGAAGCUCCGGCUAACUACGUGCCAGCAGCCGCGGUAAUACGUAGGGAGCAAGCGUUGUCCGGAAUUACUGGGCGUAAAGGGUGCGUAGGUGGCCAUGUAAGUUAGGUGUGAAAGACCGGGGCUUAACCCCGGGGCGGCACUUAAAACUGUGUGGCUUGAGUACAGGAGAGGGAAGUGGAAUUCCUAGUGUAGCGGUGAAAUGCGUAGAUAUUAGGAGGAACACCAGUGGCGAAGGCGACUUUCUGGACUGUAACUGACACUGAGGCACGAAAGCGUGGGGAGCAAACAGG